UACGUAGGGUGCAAGCGUUGUUCGGAAUCACUGGGCGUAAAGCGCACGCAGGCGGAUAAAUAAGUCAGGGGUGAAAUCCCGGGGCUCAACCUCGGAAUUGCCUUUGAUACUGUUUAUCUCGAGUUCGGGAGAGGUUGGCGGAAUUCCUAGUGUAGAGGUGAAAUUCGUAGAUAUUAGGAAGAACACCAGUGGCGAAGGCGGCCAACUGGCCCGAUACUGACGCUCAUGUGCGAAAGCGUGGGGAGCAAACAGG
RNAcentral lists this ribosomal RNA (253 nucleotides) under uncultured bacterium. Its description in RNAcentral is "partial 16S ribosomal RNA". It matches the Rfam family "Bacterial small subunit ribosomal RNA", at positions 524 to 776 of the family's 1533-position model. The record is from RNAcentral.